RNAcentral lists this unclassified non-coding RNA (332 nucleotides) under uncultured fungus. RNAcentral describes it as "partial contains 5.8S ribosomal RNA and internal transcribed spacer 2". The stretch from base 1 to 133 matches the Rfam family "5.8S ribosomal RNA", at positions 22 to 154 of the family's 154-position model. Lineage: Eukaryota; Fungi. The record is from RNAcentral.
UGGUUCUGGCAUNGAUGAAGAACGCAGCGAAAUGCGAUAAGUAAUGUGAAUUGCAGAAUUCAGUGAAUCAUCGAAUCUUUGAACGCACAUUGCGCCCAUUAGUAUCCUAGUGGGCAUGCCUGUUCGAGCGUCAUUUCAACCCUUAAGCCUAGCUUAGUGUUGGGAGACUGCCUAAUACGCAGCUCCUCAAAACCAGUGGCAGAGUUUUCUCGUACUCUGAGCGCAGUAAUUUUACCUCGCUUCUGUAAGACGAUUAGACGAUAGCCAAAAACCGCAUCCCUCGGGAGCACUUUUUAAUGGUUGACCUCGGAUCAGGUAGGAAUACCCGCUGA